UAAGCGACUCUCGGCAACGGAUAUCUCGGCUCUCGCAUCGAUGAAGAACGUAGCGAAAUGCGAUACUUGGUGUGAAUUGCAGAAUCCCGUGAACCAUCGAGUCUUUGAACGCAAGUUGCGCCCGAAGCCGUCAGGCCGAGGGCACGUCUGCCUGGGCGUCACAC
RNAcentral lists this ribosomal RNA (164 nucleotides) under Polylepis pauta. RNAcentral's name for it is "5.8S ribosomal RNA". It matches the Rfam family "5.8S ribosomal RNA". From Rfam's summary of the family: 5.8S ribosomal RNA (5.8S rRNA) is a component of the large subunit of the eukaryotic ribosome. It is transcribed by RNA polymerase I as part of the 45S precursor that also contains 18S and 28S rRNA. Functionally, it is thought that 5.8S rRNA may be involved in ribosome translocation. RNAcentral also lists the same sequence under 1 other name. The record is from RNAcentral. Lineage: Eukaryota; Viridiplantae; Streptophyta; Magnoliopsida; Rosales; Rosaceae.